AUUUAUCUGUGCACGAAAGGCUGCUGAGAGAGUUAUGCAUUAUUCAGGCUAAUCAAAGCACGGCUGUAACCAUCAUGGGGGGCGGGAGGGGGGCAGGGAAGCCUGGGGCAGCGGCUCUGGCUCCUGCUGAAGGUGAUUGCAGGCCGGGCAUCGUGAGCAGCAUCUCCUUGGAGCUGUUGCCAUGCCAACGCAUCUGCCUAGGUGAUUGCCACUUGUUGAAAGUUUGCGAUGAUGAACGAGCCGCCAGGAGGGCUGCUGGAGGGCCUCCUAUUAAGCUGCUUUUGCCAAAGGGCGCUCCACGAGCUGCGGAAAAUUUAAAGCGCUGUUUAACGGGUGGGCAGGACGGGUCCACCUCUCCCGAGAUUGCCCUCUGCUGCAGGAAGAGGACGGCUUGACUGUCCGGGUCAGCCCUCAAUGCCUUUCCAAAGCCAGUGCAGGGCCAGCUCUGAACGUCAACGUGUUUGGCUGCACGGAUUCUGCUGCUAGGAAGCACGAAUCUUGUGAUCAGAAUUGCGCAGUCUUUUGCAUUUUUCUUGUGCCUCGCUUCAUUUUUUUUCUAGGUUACCCAAAAGCUGGAAACCCGUUUGAGCGAAGAAAGGGAGGAGUGAGCUGGAGAGGCUUCCAAGCUCCCGUCUGAGGGCCAAACAGAAGUGAUGGGUUUUAAAAUAAAAAGGAUCUACGGCACAAAAAGAGGGCCGAAGUACAAGCAAAGGCAUCAAUGACACGUCGCAAAGCGACGUUUCGCAGAGAUUCAUCUUCUUCCCCGCCAUUCCAGCAAUGCAACAUGAAGGGACAUGCGGUGCAGCUUGAAUGAAGAACGACGUGCGCACGGGUGCAGCUUCCUUUUGAUGCUCUAAUCGAUGCUUCUGGAAAGUUGCCCAUGGUCCAACGGCCACUGGGAGCCCUUGAGGAAAGGAAGGGCCACACGAACCUCUGGGGCCCCCUGCAUUACAUUUCUGAAAGUGCUCUACUUCGCCCUAAUGCCCCCCUUUGAGGAAAGGGCCACUUGCCACCGUUCUGCCUUGGCCAUGCAUCCCGCACACCCGCCAGAAAUGCCUAAUUUCAUUCUGCUGCAGUGCGGAGGGACGGAUUCCUGGCUCCCGUCAACACCACAGCACUUUCAUGGUUUGUUUCAAGGAGAGGAAAAGGUCGGAGAGCACACCACCGGGAGAAGCGGGGCGGCUUUCUCCAGGCUGGUGCUCUCCAGAAGUCUCGGGUUCCCGCUCGCCCAGCGGGCGAAGGAUUGCAGGGGCUGUCACGUGAUGCGGCUGGAACCGCCAGGGCAGUACGCCACGCUUGGCAAACGCUCCCUGCCGCCGACUGCCAGAGGCCAGUGUGAGUUGCAAAAGCCCUUCUGUGACCAGAACGCCGCUGCUUCGUCCCUUCGGCUGCCUUUCCUCACAGCCAGCAGUCCCGGCACCCCCAGGGAAAGGCGAACAAGACCAGGAGGAGCAGCCACUGCAGCUCACCAAAAACGUAAGAAAGAGAAGGUCCACGUUCUUUAUUUUGCAUGAAUACACUGUGAUAGUUUUUAGAGUCCAGCAUACCAACUGCAUGUAAAUACUACAGAUGGGUUGCACCAGAACUGGUGCUCACAAAACUAGUGCAUUUCUCCCCAAAGCGAAGACUAAACCCUUUUAACUCUUCUUAAAAAAAUACAUUAAAGAACGUACCACACAUA
Molecule: long non-coding RNA, 1681 nt
Organism: Varanus komodoensis (Komodo dragon)
Lineage: Eukaryota; Metazoa; Chordata; Lepidosauria; Squamata; Varanidae
Exons: 2
Source: RefSeq, a predicted model, not a curated record